Transfer RNA from Salinarchaeum sp. Harcht-Bsk1, 73 nucleotides. It matches the Rfam family "tRNA". Rfam says of the family: Transfer RNA (tRNA) molecules are approximately 80 nucleotides in length. Their secondary structure includes four short double-helical elements and three loops (D, anti-codon, and T loops). The record is from Rfam. Lineage: Archaea; Methanobacteriati; Methanobacteriota; Halobacteria; Halobacteriales; Natronoarchaeaceae.
GCCGCCAUAGCUCAGUUGGUAGAGCACCACGCUGUUAACGUGGUUGUCCCAGGUUCGAGCCCUGGUGGUGGCG